AUUGAACGCUGGCGGCAUGCUUUACACAUGCAAGUCGAACGGUAACAGGCCGCAAGGUGCUGACGAGUGGCGAACGGGUGAGUAAUGCAUCGGAACGUGCCCAGUCGUGGGGGAUAACUACUCGAAAGAGUAGCUAAUACCGCAUACGAUCUAUGGAUGAAAGCGGGGGACCGUAAGGCCUCGCGCGAUUGGAGCGGCCGAUGUCAGAUUAGGUAGUUGGUGGGGUAAAGGCGCACCAAGCCAACGAUCUGUAGCUGGGCUGAGAGGACAAGCAGCCACACUGGGACUGAGACACGGCCCAGACUCCUACGGGAGGCAGCAGUGGGGAAUUUUGGACAAUGGGCGCAAGCCUGAUCCAGCAAUGCCGCGUGCAGGAAGAAGGCCUUCGGGUUGUAAACUGCUUUUGUACGGAACGAAACGGCUCUGGUUAAUACCCGGGGCUAAUGACGGUACCGGAAGAAUAAGCACCGGCUAACUACGUG
Molecule: ribosomal RNA, 482 nt
Filed under: uncultured bacterium
Lineage: Bacteria
Description: partial 16S ribosomal RNA
Rfam family: Bacterial small subunit ribosomal RNA
Source: RNAcentral